This is a non-coding RNA of Alligator sinensis (Chinese alligator), 369 nucleotides long. Lineage: Eukaryota; Metazoa; Chordata; Crocodylia; Alligatoridae. The record is from the annotation of a RefSeq genome assembly.
AUGACCAUGACACUGGUGCUGGUUUUGCUUUCCCUGCUGGAAGCCCCCCUGAGUGUCCUCUCUGCUGUGCAGCUGGUUGAGUCUGGCCCAGGGGUGGUGAAGCCUGCAGAGACUCUCACCCUGACCUGCACUGUCACAGGCUAUUCCAUCAGCAGUAGCGUCUAUUGGAGCUGGAUCCAGCAGCCUCCUGCGAAAGGGCUGGAGUGGAUGGGGUACAUAGUUGGAAGCAGUGGUGGCACAAGCUACAACCCAUCCUUCCAGAGCCGCAUCACCAUUUCCAAGGACAACUCCAAGAACCAGUUCUCCCUGCAGCUGCGCUCUCCGACAGCCGCAGACACCGCCACGUAUUACUGUGCAGAGACACAGUGA